AAGUCGUAACAAGGUUUCCGUAGGUGAACCUGCGGAAGGAUCAUUAUAUUCAGUAGCCUAGCUACUUGUUUAUACCCUUGUUUUUUGCGUACCUAUUGUUUCCUCGGCGGGCUUGCUCGCCGGUUGGACAAAACUUAUAACCUUUUUGAAAUCUUCAAUCAGCGUCUGAAUUAUACAUAAUAAUUACAACUUUCAACAACGGAUCUCUUGGUUCUG
This 216-nucleotide unclassified non-coding RNA is filed under the name Phaeosphaeria podocarpi. RNAcentral's name for it is "partial internal transcribed spacer region". The stretch from base 1 to 46 matches the Rfam family "Eukaryotic small subunit ribosomal RNA", at positions 1786 to 1831 of the family's 1831-position model. Lineage: Eukaryota; Fungi; Ascomycota; Dothideomycetes; Pleosporales; Phaeosphaeriaceae. The record is from RNAcentral.